This 414-nucleotide long non-coding RNA is filed under the name Equus caballus (horse). RNAcentral's name for it is "lncRNA (ENSECAG00000049077.1)". The record is from RNAcentral. Lineage: Eukaryota; Metazoa; Chordata; Mammalia; Perissodactyla; Equidae.
UUGUAUGAGGACACAGCAAUAAGGUGGCCAUCUGGAACCCAGAAAGGAAGCUCCUACCAGAAACUGACUCUCCUGGACCUUGACGUGGGACUUCGAGCCUCCAGAACUUUCUUGUCAUUGGUGAUAGAAAAAGGAAGAAUUGGGAGGAGACUCCAGAAGGAGGAUGACACCAAAGCACGUGGUCACCUGCUGAGACGUGGAUACAUCCCAUUCGCACUAAGCACCUACAGCUGUGCUUUGGCGAAGACUAUACAUUGAAGACCUCGGGGAAGUUUCCCGAUGUCCUCGGUGAGGCAAAGCUGAGAACACUGAUGUCAGAGCUGGUGACUUCUGCAGUUAACACAGACUAGAGCUGGAACUCAUUGUCAGCCCCUGAUUCCAUGCAACCUCUUUCACUUCUUAUACCACUAUUCC